Molecule: ribosomal RNA, 41 nt
Filed under: Mycosphaerella sp. GX5-3C
Lineage: Eukaryota; Fungi; Ascomycota; Dothideomycetes; Mycosphaerellales; Mycosphaerellaceae
Description: partial 28S ribosomal RNA
Source: RNAcentral
GGAUCAGGUAGGGAUACCCGCUGAACUUAAGCAUAUCAUAA